UUCGAGUGCUUUUCCCAAACAUCUGGCAGGUGGUAGGUCGCUAGCAUUUAAAGUCUGCAUUCUUAAACACUAUGCAAUACUGCUCCCCCAUUCAUCAUGAUAAUUUAAACAGUCAUGAUGAAUUACAAGAAUUCACAGAUUCCAACAUCACUAUUAUUACCCGACUAACUCUGCUGUUAUACUAAGCAGAGAUCAAACACAAAAAGGGGAGAUAGUUUCUGUAGAUGUAAAAUAAGUUCUAGUAAUGUGAAAUUAUUAAUAUCUUUUGAUGGACUAGUCAUACCAAAGAAACUUUAGGCUACAAAGCAGCUAAGCCAAUAAUCAAUAGG
Ceratotherium simum simum (southern white rhinoceros) is the source of this 329-nucleotide non-coding RNA. NCBI's taxonomy places the organism in Eukaryota, Metazoa, Chordata, Mammalia, Perissodactyla, Rhinocerotidae. The record is from RefSeq and is a predicted model, not a curated record.